ACAAGGCUUAUUAAUGAGAAUAUUCUCACCCCCUGAAAGUGUUUAACAGGCUUGUACCUAUUAGUAGUAACAGCUAUUUAUUGAGUAAUUACUAUGUGCCAGUCCCAGUUCUAAAAGAUUUAUAUGAAAGUUCUAUUAUUCCAUCCUCACCACUGCACUUUUAAAUAGUCACUAUUGUUAUCUAAUUCUACUGGUGUGAAAUUGAGGCACAGAGAGGAAUAAAUUUUCCCAAAAUCAACUAAGUGGCAAAGCCAAGAUUCAGUCCCAGGAAGUCUGAUCUCAGAGGCUACACUUUUAACAAGUUUACGUAGUUCCUAGUAGCAAGUAUCCAAAUUAAAAUUUAUCUUUAUAUAACUUUAGAAAGGAUUUUUAUUUUCUACAUUUUGGGGGGGAUAAUAUUUAUCCUAAAAUAGAUUUUAACAAUGGUCUUUGUGUUUCCCUUCAAUUUACAUAUAUGCUGGGGAAGCAUGAGGUUAGAUAGACAGAAUAAAUGAAUGAAUGGUUUCCAUGUUAGAAGUAUGGGACAUAGUUGUUUCUUUAUGAUAAGGUAGUGAUUCCCUACCUAAACUAUUUAUAUGUUAAUGAUCUAAGCAAUUUAAAAAAAAUUGAUGCCACCAUUUUUGUAAUAUUUAAGCUAGUCUCCAGCAAAGACCUGGAUGCAUUCUAGAGAAUUCAUCUCUGCUUAGUGCUCUACUCCAUCAUUGAUGUAGAAUAUUUUUAUUCAGAAUUUAAAAUCUGGUUUUAUUCAUUAUAGGCAUUUAAAAAUUCACUAAAGUCCUUCAAAGAAAAAAAAGUUAACUUUACAUUUUUGGUGUGUAUAAUCUGCCUGUGUAGGAGAAGCUGGAUAAAUCUAGCCACUUUGAAGAUCUAAACUCAUAAUCAAAAGGUGUUUAUUGGAAAACUUAUACUAAGUAGCUGAUAACCUAGGACUUUGAUUAGUUCAAGUCCCAAAAACAUGAUGACUGAAAUGCUAGAAACAAGUCCUUGUUCAUCUAAAAAGAUACCCAAUUAUGUCUUAUAUUUUCCCAAAUGUCCUUGACUUUUGAUUUUUAAAGCUCCAUUUAUUUCAAUCAUCUCCCCAUCACAACAAACUGUAUUAUACUAAACUCGACCACUUAUAUUUGUUACUGCUAAGAAACAGUAAAAAUUACUAGCUUGUGGGAUGAUAAUCUAUGCUAAAGGAGUUAAGAUACUUUUGUAUUAGAAUUUAAAAAAAAUAUUUUAUUGUAUAUCUCUUCAGCAAACAAUGCUUUAUUACAAUGUUUGCAAAGCCAAAUGAACCAACCCUUACUGAUCCUAGCCACCUUUUUCCUGUGUCUUGCAUUAUAUGUUAGCUAGUUAUUCGUUAAGAAUUUACUAUGUGUUGUAGACUAGUUGAAAGAAAAACAUAUUUCCUGACCUCUAGAAACUCAGAAACAAGUGAGAUGGUGAUAAAUGGGAACAUUAACAGUUUCAUCCUGAGUUGCUGGAAGGGUUAAUAAAGGAGUAAAGAGCAAUUAUAAUUACAUGGUACUCUGAAAACAUGCACCACACUCAAAGGGAAGAUAUGCAUUCUGACCUUCCAAAGAUAAGGUGCACAUAACUUUAAAGCAAAUAAAAGUGAGACGGGGGAGUAUGAAGGUGGAAUUUGCAUUGAUUGCUCUUCACUCCAGAUAGUGAAACUCUUAAGUCCUGAGCUCUUGAACUGCCUUAGGCCAGGAUACAGCUGGUAGUGGUGGAAAGUGGAGAAGGAAUGCAAGAUUCUUGUUACUCAGCUUCCCCAAACAUAGGCACGUGGGGACAACUACCAGUUUCUUUAGCCUCCUGGUACUUUGAAUGCCUUCAGGAUAUCUUUCAUCAAUGUAAUUGUUGUAUUAAUCAUCAGUUUAUCUUUGGUUUAUUUUGUUAAAAAAAUAGAAUAUUGUGCUUUUAUGUUUUUAACUCACUGUCACAUGAAUGAAUGCCCAGUGGUAGUUGUAAAAAUAAAUGACUAUCUUUUGCAUAUUUUGUCAUUGGAGUUAUCUUCAAAAGGAGAACCCAAUCUCUAUUUGCUUUUCAAAAGUACUAGAUAGAGAAGAGAGUCAGCAUUUCUACUUAUUUCUGAGUUCUUCUCAGUUGCUGAUUGAUCCAGAAUCUCGUUAGGCUUUCCAGAACUUUAUUUCUCCCUCUAUAUUAGUGGUCUAGGUCUGCUGACCUCAUGUUGAUUAUGAAGAUUAAUGGUUUGGUUGUUGAAAAGCCCAAUAGCUGAAAAGAAUCAUGGAAACUGAGACGUCUUCCUUAUCCUUUUUAAUGAUGCAGCUGCUAUAGAUUUUUAAUGAUGAAAGUGAUAAACUGAGCAUUUUGGUCAAAUAAUAGUCAUUUUGCUGUUGAACUCUUCCAGACUUAAGUUAUUAUUUUAAUACAUCUACAUAGGAAUUCUUGAGUUUAGGUUACAAAUUAUCUCUGAGUUAAUUAAUCUUUAAAAUUGGCUGUCCUCUAAAUAGCUAAAGGAAAGUUACCUCAAGUGCAGACAGAGGAUCUUCACUUUUACAGCAUAGUUUAUAUGUGCCAGAUAGACUAUGUAUAUGCCAAAUCAAUUGUUGCAGUAGUUCAUGAUUUAGGGGGAAAUGACUGCUAAUAUGCUAAUAUGUUAUAUAUAAACAUUUUUUUUUCCCACUGUACAGCAAGGGGGUCAGGUUAUCCUUACAUGUAUACAUUACAAUUACAUUUUUCCCCCACCCUUUUAUUUUAAAGGAAAAAUAUAAUAGAUUUUUUCCCCUGUUCAUAAAACAUGCAAACUAGCAUUAGAAAAUUAGAGCAUUCCUACUAUAUAGCACAGGGAAUUAUAUUCAGUCUCUUGGGAUAGACCAUGAUGGAAGAUAAUAAAAGAAAGGGGGAGUUCCUGUUGUGGCUCAGAGGUAACAAACCCAACUAGUAUCCAUGAGGUUGCGGGUUUGAUCCCUGGUCCCCUCAGUGGAUUAAUGAUCUGGCCUUGCCAUGAGCUGUGGUGUAGAUCGCAGACACAGCUCAAAUCUGGUGUUGCUGUGUCUGUGGAGUAGACCGGCAGCUGCAGCUCCAAUUCGACCCCUAGCCUGGGAACUUCCAUUUGCCACAGGUGCGACCCCAAAAAUUAAAUAAAGUGAACAUAUAUCUAUAUAUGUAGACUGGAUCACUUUGCUGUACAGCAGAAAUUGGCACAACAUUGUAAAUCAACUAUGAAAAUAAUAAGAACAAAAGAAAAUUGGGGCAUUUACAUUUACAAUCUGUAAAAUCUGCUAAAUGACCUCAUGUACUCUCUGUCUUGUUUAUUUUCAUUCUCAACUUGCUGUAGAUCAAAAAUACCCUUAAGAACUCCAGUAUCUCCGCAGAGAAUUUUGUCUUUACUCCUCCUCCUUCAACCUGAGACUGGUGAUUUCAGGAAUGUGUUGAACAAUGAGGUUCUUGAAAUAGUUACCAUCUAUAUUAGUUUCCUAUGGCCACAUAACAAAUUACUACAAACUUAGUGCAUCAGAAAUAGCUUCUCUCAUCAUUCUGGAAGUCAGAAGUCCAGAAUCAGUAUCAGUGAGCUGAGAUCAAAGUGUUGGCAGGACUCUGUUCUGUCUGGACGCUCUAGAAGAGAAUGCCUUUUUUAGUCUCUAAUGACUGUCAACAUUUCCUGGCUUGUGGCUGCAUCACUUCACAAUCUCUACUUUCAUGGUCAAUUGACUUGUCCUCCUGUGUCUGUGUGUAAUCUCCCUCUUCUAAAGAUACAUCUAAUUGAAUUUAGGACACAUCUAGGUAAUCCAAGAUAGUCUCCCUAUUUUAAAACCCUUAACUUAAUUAUAUCUGCAGAAUCCUUUUUUCCAUAUAAGGUAAUAGACACAGGUUCCAAGCAAGGAUCAAGAUACGGCUUUCAUUUAGGGGAGAGACUUAUUUAGCUUAGCACACCAUUUUCUCCUGUGCACCUGUCCUCCGUUUCCUGCCUUGUCCUCCCUUCAUUUCUGCUGGGACCACUCAGCCAGACCAAGAAAAUAUGAGAGAUGUCCAAAGAUCUCACUUUCCUAUUCACUCUUUGUACUUUAGAUGAAACAAGUGAGCAAGUAAUGGCAGAUCCAAGCAUUAAGAUUAUAUAGGACUGGAUAAGGCUGGAUCCAUGAGCAAUGGUCUGCAGAUUUUUAUCUUUUGUUUGCCCUGAUUCACGUAAUUUCGAUCUUAAUUCUAAGGACACUUGCCUGAAGAGAUUCAAUUCUGCCUUUCUCAGCAUUAACCUUGCUCCAUCACUCUGCCUAAGGCCAGGAGAAUCCAAUGGCUCAAUCAAAUGUCAACUUCCUGUCACACUCCAUUCAGGAAAACUGUAUGCUGUAGCAGUGGGUCUUGAGUGUUUAUUCUUAUGCUACAUAAUGAAGAGGGACAUUGCAGAAAGGUGGCUGUGGGGAAAACAUCUGGAAGAAAUAAAUUCCCUAGGAUCAAAGGGUUCCGUGUGCAGCCCAGAGGGUCCUCAUGGUGCUCCCAAGAGCAAACAAACAAUUCUCUUGAUGAGUCACUGCAAUUUUUUUCUGCCAAAAGCCCACAUGUGUUGCAAGAUCUCAAGGAAAAGGGGUGGAAUAAGGAGAGAGAAGGAAAAUUAAAGAAGGCAACAAAAGUGAUUUUUAAAAGAUCCUAACCAUAUGAAUUAAAGAAAUCUCAAUAUGAUUACAAUCCUUUAAUAUUCCCACCAUCCUUAAUAUUGGAUUACUUAUACUGGGGCAGAGUAAAAUUAAAUAUCACAAAAUAUUUUUUAAAACACAAAAACCAGUGGGACAAAGAAAGGAUGUUUUGGAAGAAUAUUACACUCUGAAACAAUAUAUUUUUUUCUCUAACAUGUGAAAAUUGGCAGAGGAGGGUGAAGCCCAGGACUAUGUCCCAAACCCUAGCCAGUGGCAUUUUACUGAGGAAAAAAAAAAAGUUACUUAUGAAUCAGUACAGCCAUGCUUUGUUCUGCAUGAGUGUUUUAAUAGAGCGAGUGUAAUAUAAGGAUCAGGUGGGCUCGUGGGAAUGGAACAAAAGGUUUUGUAAAAUUAAAGCAAAAUAAUUAUAGCUCUAGGUGCAAAGCGAGCAUACUCCAGCAGUUGAUAGCAAGGACCUGCUCAGAAUGGAGAAGGGAGGGGCUGUGCUGGAAGUUUUUUUUUUUUAUUUUUUUUUUAUUCACUAACAAAGGCUUUUAAUAGGUAACAGUUGUAAAGCGUCUUUGAAAGUAAUUAAUGCACCCACACAAAAAUUUAUUAAAAUGAAAAUUUAAGGAAUUGUCUAAAAUGAAUUAAUUAACAAAAAAAGAACAUCAUGCCUUUCUUAUUUUUUAAAGAAGGAGAGAAGGUUAAGCAAAGCAGAUUUUUGUGAGAUUGCAUUUUAAAUGUUCCUGGUUUAUUUAGUAUCUGAAUAGCCCUAAAAAGGAUAGUUGGCAGAAUUAAUUCUUAUUCACCCCCUUCAGAAAUACUAAAUUGCAACAGACAUAAAAUGGUGAUUAAUUUGGUGUGCAUGGGACUCAAAGUCCUUCAAAUUAUGAUAUUUCCCUAUAAAAUGACCAGAGUUUUUACUAAGUUUUCAGAGACCGGUAGUAAGCAGAAUGUGAUACUCAAAAGAAGAGGAAGGUGAGUGUUUUUUCUCACGUGGUCUUCAUCUUUCAGGGCUCUUAAUAGGCCUUUUAGAGCUGCAUUUCCUGUUGUGGCCUCAUGGAACAGAAAAGGAAGGCUGCAAAGUGUGUUGCUAGUAAUUUUUACCUCAAGUAGUUCCUAUCUCUACAGGGAAAAAAAAAUGAGCUGCAUUUAUCCCAUUUCUGCAAGAAUUUUUAAUCACCAUAUUUGUUUUUCUUUUGAAUUCUGUUGGAUUAUUUCAUACUGUGAUAUAAUUAUAAGUAGAACAUGUACUACCUGCUGAGAUUUUACCCUUUAUUGUAAGAAUCAUUUCUAGUUUAUUAUAAAAGUAUAUGUUUUCAGUAUAUUGCUGUUAUACCUCAAAAAGUUUUAGGUUCUGAACUUAGAUAUGUCUUCAAAGGUCAAGUCCUCUAAACCUUCCGUGUUGAAAAGUCAUUGGAGAAUUGCUGCCUUUCCUCCAAUGUUGUUUUGUUUUGUCAAGGUCAGAAUACAGCUAUACAAAAAAAAAAAAAAAAAAAAAAAAAAAAAAAA
Molecule: long non-coding RNA, 6098 nt
Filed under: Sus scrofa (pig)
Lineage: Eukaryota; Metazoa; Chordata; Mammalia; Artiodactyla; Suidae
Description: lncRNA (ENSSSCG00025057204.1)
Source: RNAcentral